RNAcentral lists this ribosomal RNA (465 nucleotides) under Vreelandella stevensii. Its description in RNAcentral is "partial 16S ribosomal RNA". It matches the Rfam family "Bacterial small subunit ribosomal RNA", at positions 338 to 795 of the family's 1533-position model. Lineage: Bacteria; Pseudomonadati; Pseudomonadota; Gammaproteobacteria; Oceanospirillales; Halomonadaceae. The record is from RNAcentral.
CCUACGGGUGGCAGCAGUGGGGAAUAUUGGACAAUGGGGGCAACCCUGAUCCAGCCAUGCCGCGUGUGUGAAGAAGGCCCUCGGGUUGUAAAGCACUUUCAGUGAGGAAGAACGCCUGGUGGUUAAUACCCAUCAGGAAAGACAUCACUCACAGAAGAAGCACCGGCUAACUCCGUGCCAGCAGCCGCGGUAAUACGGAGGGUGCGAGCGUUAAUCGGAAUUACUGGGCGUAAAGCGCGCGUAGGUGGCUUGAUAAGCCGGUUGUGAAAGCCCCGGGCUCAACCUGGGAACGGCAUCCGGAACUGUCAAGCUAGAGUGCAGGAGAGGAAGGUAGAAUUCCCGGUGUAGCGGUGAAAUGCGUAGAGAUCGGGAGGAACACCAGUGGCGAAGGCGGCCUUCUGGACUGACACUGACACUGAGGUGCGAAAGCGUGGGUAGCAAACAGGAUUAGAUACCCCUGUAGUC